UACGGAGGGUGCAAGCGUUGUCCGGAUUUAUUGGGUUUAAAGGGUGCGUAGGCGGCCCGUUAAGUCAGUGGUGAAAUCCCAGGGCUCAACCCUGGAACUGCCAUUGGUACUGACGGGCUUGAGUUCGGUUAAGGCGGGCGGAACUGGUGGUGUAGCGGUGAAAUGCAUAGAUACCACCAAGAACCCCGAUUGCGUAGGCAGCUCGCUGAGCCGAAACUGACGCUGAGGCACGAAAGCGUGGGGAGCGAACAGG
RNAcentral lists this ribosomal RNA (253 nucleotides) under uncultured bacterium. Its description in RNAcentral is "partial 16S ribosomal RNA". It matches the Rfam family "Bacterial small subunit ribosomal RNA", at positions 524 to 776 of the family's 1533-position model. The record is from RNAcentral.